RNAcentral lists this transfer RNA (73 nucleotides) under Stegodyphus mimosarum. It matches the Rfam family "tRNA". Rfam says of the family: Transfer RNA (tRNA) molecules are approximately 80 nucleotides in length. Their secondary structure includes four short double-helical elements and three loops (D, anti-codon, and T loops). Lineage: Eukaryota; Metazoa; Arthropoda; Arachnida; Araneae; Eresidae. The record is from Rfam by way of RNAcentral.
GCUUUCGUGGUAUAGUGGUCAGCACGCUCGACGCCUAACCGAGCGGCCCGUGGUUCGAUUCCCAGUGAAGGCG